UACGUAGGGUGCGAGCGUUGUCCGGAAUUAUUGGGCGUAAAGGGCUCGUAGGCGGUUUGUCACGUCGGGAGUGAAAACUCAGGGCUUAACCCUGAGCCUGCAGUGGGUACGGGCAGACUAGAGUGCGGUAGGGGAGACUGGAAUUCCUGGUGUAGCGGUGAAAUGCGCAGAUAUCAGGAGGAACACCGGUGGCGAAGGCGGGUCUCUGGGCCGUAACUGACGCUGAGGAGCGAAAGCGUGGGGAGCGAACAGG
Molecule: ribosomal RNA, 253 nt
Filed under: uncultured bacterium
Lineage: Bacteria
Description: partial 16S ribosomal RNA
Rfam family: Bacterial small subunit ribosomal RNA
Source: RNAcentral